RNAcentral lists this transfer RNA (101 nucleotides) under Grifola frondosa (maitake). It matches the Rfam family "tRNA". Rfam says of the family: Transfer RNA (tRNA) molecules are approximately 80 nucleotides in length. Their secondary structure includes four short double-helical elements and three loops (D, anti-codon, and T loops). Further hydrogen bonds mediate the characteristic L-shaped molecular structure. tRNAs have two regions of fundamental functional importance: the anti-codon, which is responsible for specific mRNA codon recognition, and the 3' end, to which the tRNAs corresponding amino acid is attached (by aminoacyl-tRNA synthetases). tRNAs cope with the degeneracy of the genetic code in two manners: having more than one tRNA (with a specific anti-codon) for a particular amino acid; and 'wobble' base-pairing, i.e. permitting non-standard base-pairing at the 3rd anti-codon position. The record is from Rfam by way of RNAcentral. Lineage: Eukaryota; Fungi; Basidiomycota; Agaricomycetes; Polyporales; Grifolaceae.
GCUUGGAUGGCUCAGUUGGUUAGAGCGCAGGUCUCAUACUUCUGUAUGACCGUCACUGACGGGCAAUCCUGAGGUCGUGAGUUCGACCCUCACUCCGAGCA